AGCUAAUAGAUACCCGGGUAGUCCACGCCCUAAACGAUGUCUACUAGUUGUUGGUGGAGUAAAAUCCAUGAGUAAACGCAGCUAAACGCGUGAAGUAGACCGCCUGGGGAGUACGGUCGCAAGAUUAAAACUCAAGGAAUUGACGGGGGCCCGCACAAGCGGUGGAUUAUGUGGAUUAAAUUCGAUGCAACGCGAAAAACCUUACCUGGCCUUGACAUGCCACUAACGAAGCAGAGAUGCAUUAGGUGCCCGUAAGGGAAAGUGGACACAGGUGCUGCAUGGCUGUCGUCAGCUCGUGUCGUGAGAUGUUGGGUUAAAGUCCCGCAACGAGCGCAACCCUUGCCAUUAAUUGCCAUCAUUUAGUUGGGCACUUUAAUGGGACUGCCGGUGACAAACCGGAGGAAGGUGGGGAGUGACGUCAAGUCCUCAUGGCCCUUAUGGCCAGGGCUUCACACGUAAUAACAAUAGGUCGGUACAGAGAGUUGCCAACCCGCGAGGGGAGGCUAAUCUCAGAAAGACCGAUCGUAGUCCGGUAUUGUUCUCU
Molecule: ribosomal RNA, 544 nt
Filed under: uncultured bacterium
Lineage: Bacteria
Description: bacterial SSU rRNA
Rfam family: Bacterial small subunit ribosomal RNA
Source: RNAcentral